RNAcentral lists this ribosomal RNA (586 nucleotides) under Pseudarthrobacter siccitolerans. Its description in RNAcentral is "bacterial SSU rRNA". It matches the Rfam family "Bacterial small subunit ribosomal RNA", at positions 379 to 975 of the family's 1533-position model. The record is from RNAcentral. Lineage: Bacteria; Bacillati; Actinomycetota; Actinomycetes; Micrococcales; Micrococcaceae.
AAGCCUGAUGCAGCGACGCCGCGUGAGGGAUGACGGCCUUCGGGUUGUAAACCUCUUUCAGUAGGGAAGAAGCGUAAGUGACGGUACCUGCAGAAGAAGCGCCGGCUAACUACGUGCCAGCAGCCGCGGUAAUACGUAGGGCGCAAGCGUUAUCCGGAAUUAUUGGGCGUAAAGAGCUCGUAGGCGGUUUGUCGCGUCUGCCGUGAAAGUCCGGGGCUCAACUCCGGAUCUGCGGUGGGUACGGGCAGACUAGAGUGAUGUAGGGGAGACUGGAAUUCCUGGUGUAGCGGUGAAAUGCGCAGAUAUCAGGAGGAACACCGAUGGCGAAGGCAGGUCUCUGGGCAUUAACUGACGCUGAGGAGCGAAAGCAUGGGGAGCGAACAGGAUUAGAUACCCUGGUAGUCCAUGCCGUAAACGUUGGGCACUAGGUGUGGGGGACAUUCCACGUUUUCCGCGCCGUAGCUAACGCAUUGAGUGCCCCGCCUGGGGAGUACGGCCGCAAGGCUAAAACUCAAAGGAAUUGACGGGGGCCCGCACAAGCGGCGGAGCAUGCGGAUUAAUUCGAUGCAACGCGAAGAACCUUACC